Molecule: long non-coding RNA, 4769 nt
Organism: Lepisosteus oculatus (spotted gar)
Lineage: Eukaryota; Metazoa; Chordata; Actinopteri; Semionotiformes; Lepisosteidae
Source: Ensembl
CUCAUUUGUUCUUUUUUGUGACACAUCAAACCAUUAUACCACACAUUUCCUCUUUAAAACCACUCAUACAGUACUGUACAUGCUGCCAUAAGGUACCAUUUACACCCAGCAGUUCAAAGAGACACAUCUGCUCUACUGAUCAAUAAAAUGGCAGAUAUCUAUGGGAAUAAUGAUUUUCUCCACAUAGAAGCUCAGAACCAAUUCCAGACUGGGAAAACACAGCUACCAUCAGGGCAUCAGUGUUGGGAUGAUGAAGAAAGUGAUGCAGACUAUGAAAACAUUGAAUACACCCUAGAAAUGAAGGAAACCAGCCAAACCCAAGAGAGGAGAAGUCAGGACAACUCAGAGAAAAGAACAGAAGAGUUUAAAUCCAGCACACCUCCAGCUGCUGCUGUUGCUGGGACCAAGUCCAUCAUUCUGCUGUAUGUCCUGCUGUUGAUGGUCACUGUAGGCUGGGUAGUCUUCAUCUCACUGGCCUUCAUUAAGUACUCCGCACUAACCGAAGAAAUUCAGCACCUCCGAAAGAGUCAAGCUGCCUUGAAAGAGAGCAGUAAGAUAUCAGUUUCAAAUGUAAUUGCUGUCUCCCUUUGCAUCCUUGUAGGGAACAUUAUUUUUCUUAGAGGAGAUCUGGUCCACUUGUAUACAUUUUCUCAAAAAGAAAUAUGGCUGUAUUUGCGUUUUAACCCAUGUGUGGCAGGGGCCCUGGAUGAAGGCAUUAUUUUAGUGGCCACAGCUGUACUGGCUGAUUAAGGAUGAGCCACAGUUGUGAAGGCUCUUUAAAAAGACACUGAACACCCCCCGAAGGGACAAGCAUGGAAAUCCCAGAAGGGGAGUAACUUCCACUGACAGUCCCAGGGGGGAUUGUACUCAAGCUUAAGGUCAAUGUUUUUUAUUUUCUUUUUCUUUGUGCCUGUCCCAUCACACCUAUCUACCGGGCAGGUUGACCUUUUUUUACAUGUCUAGUUUUUAUUUUGUUUUGGCCUUGCGCUCCCUGCUCUUCCAGACUGGAUCCCAUUAAAAAGGGUAAGUCCUGUUCCUGGUAACAGUCUGGUUACCACUGUGCUGAGCAGUUUCUUUUUUCCCAGGCUAGACUGGAUGUCACGGUGUACAUCAGCGCAUAUUUACCAGUGCUCCUCCAUCUCCCACAUUGUUACACCAUGUUCAACCCCAGAGCAAAAUAUUUCACAAAAUCUCCCAUAAGAGAUCAUUUUUAACCUCUAUGCACACAAACAUACAGUAUGUGGACACAGACCUGAAAGGGAUUUGUACUGUAGAGUUCCAUUUGCUUUUUACAUUUACAUUCAUGUAGCAUAAUGUGUAUCUCUAUAGUUUGUGCUGCUUAAGGCCUGUUUAAAUAAAGGAUUUGGCAGCAAACAGAAAAAAUCUCAUCCACUCCACCAAAAUCUUAAUUUGACAACUUUCCUGACUUCAAUUAGUCCUGAAACACAUGCAGGAUAAACAACUUAAACUCCUGAAGGGAGAUACUGUUUUAAGGGAGUGAUAAAUUAGGAUCCCAGUAUAAUUUGUUUAUUAUAUAAUAAGGUCCCAAGCUUUUCCCUUACUAUUUUAAUUCUAUGCAUUGCUUUGCCAUUAGUCAUAGAAAAACCACAAGCAUAUUCCUGCUUAAGAAGUGAUACUUAAGAAACUGAAAUUCUCAGGGAAACACAGGGUAUCCAGAAUGAAGAUACUCUGGCUUUUCUUUGAAGAGGGCUAAAAAAGGAGGAACUAUCCAGUUUCCUCUUCUUCAAGAACUCUCAGUGCUUCUCUUUCCACUUUCUUCCCCCAGCUCUUCUUAUGACUCUCGUCAUACUUGCGUUCAACUUGCUGUAAUUACGUUUGGCACAUUCACAUCACUAGUGCCUUUUUAUCUUUAUAAAUCCUGCAGAAAUCCAAAGCCUGAAAAUGAAACAAGUUGGGUUGAUGAGCAAUGGUAAUAAUUAAUAAUAAUUGCUCACACUUAUAUAGUGCUUUUCUGGAAACUCCACUCAAAGCACUGUACAGAUAAUGGGAACUCCCCUCCACCACCACCAAUGUGCAGUCCCACCUGGAUGAUGUGACGGCGGUCAUAGUGCUUAGCACACAUCAGAUAUUUCUGGGGAGGAGAACAAAGUAAUGAAGCCAAUUCAUAGAUGGGGAUUAUUAGGAGGCCAUGAGUGGUCAGGGCCAAUGGGAAAUUUGGCCAGGACACCGGGGUUACACCCCUACUCUUUUCCAGAAACACUCUGGGAUUUUUAAUAACCACAGAGAGUCAGGACCUCGGUUUUACGUCUUAUCUGAAGGAUGGCACCUGUUUACAGUAUAGUGUCCCCCUCACUAUACUGGGGCAUUAGGACCCAAAAGGACUGCAGGGUGAGCACCCCCUGCUGGCCCCACUAACACCUCUUCCAGCAGCAGCCUUAGUUUUUCCCAGGAGGCUCACACCUGCUUAGCUUCAGUGGGUUGCCAGUUGUGAGUUGUAGAGUGUUAUGGCUGCUGGCCAUAUAACCCUGCAAAGGUAGGCUGCUGAAAUGGUAGGUGCUGUGUGUAUGUGGGGGGGGGGGGUUGUUCUUGGGAAUUUAUAGCACUUUUCAGGCAAAGAUUAAAUUAAUGUGUUACAUAAUCUACAGGCUGAAGCCUAAGUGUUUACCCACUUAACUUGGUAGUAGCAUUCUGCCUACUAAAGGUUUCCCAGUUCCCAGUUCAGUGCUGUUUCUAUGUUUUUUGACUGGUUGGGGGAUAAAACAUUCUAUCUUUUAGCUUUACAGUAUGUUUUUAUUUACAAAAUGACAUUAAAAUGGUCAAGGUUUGAAAUUAAUCUAAGACACAAGCAUUCAAAUAACCUAAAAUCAAUGUCAUUUAGCAAAGUGCCUUUUAUAAUGGACUGCAGUGUGUUAAAUUCUCUUAUGCGUUUUUUAACAUGUCAUGUCUUAUUAGACUAUAGAACUGAUUAGCCUAUGCAGUCUGUGAUACAAGUUUCAGCUGAAUUAAUAAAUAUUUACAGUAAACCAUUCUCAUCUGUGUAAUCUCUAUCAGGAUUAAGGUUGUGUAUGCUAAAAAAUGUAUUUAUAUUGUAGAUUUGUGAAACAGUAUCUGUCUACUAAUGCGCUGAGCCAGUACAUGCAAACCCAGAGAAACAGAUUUACAGAUUUUAAUCUCAAUCUGGACUCUCUCUUUUAGACUCAGCACUAAUUGAAGAAAUUCAGCACCUCCGAAAGAGUCAAGCUGCCUUGAAAGAGAGCAGUAAGAUAUCAGUUUCAAAUGUAAUUGCUGUCUCCCUUUGCAUCCUUGUAAGGAACAUUAUUUUUUCCUAGAGGACAGCUAGUCCACUUGUAUACAUUUUCCCAAAAAGAAAUUUGGCUAUAUUUGUGAUUUAACCCAUGUGUGGCAGGGGCCCUGGAUGAAGGGCGAGGCAUUACUUUAGUGGCCACAGCUGUACUGGCUGAUUAAGGAUGAGCCACAGUUGUGAAGGCUCUUUAAAAAGAUACUGAACACCCCCUGAAGGGACAAGCAUGGAAAUCCCAGAAGGGGAGUAACUUCCACUGACAGUCCCAGGGGGAUUGUAUCCAAGCAUAAGGCCAUUUUAUUUCUUUUAUCUUUUUCUUUGUGCCUGUCCCGUCACGUAUCUCUAUCGGGCAGGUUGACCUUUUUUUACACGUCUAGUUUUUAUUUUGUUUUGGCCUUGCGCUCCCUGCUCUUCCAGACUGGUUACCGCUGUGCUGAGCAGUUUCUUUUUUCCCAGGCUAGACCCCGUUAAAUAGGGUAAACCCAGACUGGAUGUCACGGUGUACAGCAGCUCAUUUUUACCAGUGCUCCCCCCACUCCCACAUUGUUACACCAUUUUCAACCCCAGAGCAAAAUAUUUCACAAAAUCUCACACAUCAUUUUUAACCUGUAUGCACACAAACAUCUGUAUGUGCACACAGACCUGAAAGGGGUUUGUAGAGUUCCAUUUGCUUUUUACAUUUACAUUCAUGUAGCAUAACGUGUAUCUCUAUAGUUUGUGCUGCUUAGGGCCUGUUUAAAUAAAGGAUGUGGCAGCAAAAAGAACAAAUCUCGGCCACUCCACCCAAAUCUUCAUUUGAAAACUUUCCGGGCUUCAAUUAGUCCUGAAACGUAUGCAGGAUAGAACAACUUAAACUCCUGAAGGGAGACACUCGCUUAUAUAAUAAAGUUCCAAGCUUUUUCUCUGCUAUUUUAAUUCUAUGCAUUGCAUUUGCCAUUAGUCAUGGAAAAACCACAAGCAUAUUCCUGCUUAAGAAGUGAUACCUAAGAAACUGAAAUUCUCAGGGAAACACAGGGUAUCCAGAAUGAAGAUACUCUGGGUUUUCUUUGAAGAGGGCUAAAAAAGGAGGAACUAUCUAGUUUCCUCUUCUUCAAGAACUCUCAGUGCUUCUCUUUCCAUUUUCUUCCCCCAGCUCUUCUUAUGACUCACGUCGUAUUUGCGUUCAGCUUGCUGUAAUUACGUUUAGCACAUUCACAUGACUAGAGCCUUUUUGUCUUUAUAGGUUCAUCAGAAAUUCAAAGCCUAAAAAUGAAACAAGUUGGGUUGAUGAGCAAUGGUAGGUGCUGUGUGUACAGUAUGUGUGUGUAUGUGAGGGGGUUGUUCUUGGGAAUUUAUAGCACUUUUCAGGCAAAGAUUAAAUUAAUGUGUUAAUGUGUUAACUGAUAGGACUGAUUAGCCUAUGCAGUCUGUGAUACACAUUUCAGCUGAAUUCAUAAAUAUUUAUAGUAAACCAUUCUCAUCUGUGUUAUCUCUAUCAGGAUUAAGGUUGUAUAUGCUGAAAAUGUAU